CCGCGGCUUCGGGUUGUGGCUCCUGUAGGCGGUGCCGCUCCUCGGAGCGUCUCCAGCUCCGGGUUUCCGCACGUUUGUUAGCCUCUAAAGAAAGUAUGGAGUCCGCGGCACGACAUCCAGGUGUGUUGUCAGAACUCGUGCUCUCUAAAGCCCAUCCUCUGUGUUUAUGGUGCCUUUCUUCUUCCUGAAGUCAAAUUAAACAGAUGCUGUGGUAGUUGAAAUAUCACGGGAGAGCGUGGAUGGCUUUUAAAUGUGAAGCGAUAGCAGUCGUAGAAUGGUUAUUCAUUAGAGUGGUCAACGUGAGUUAGGAAGGGACAGCCUAAGGAAGGAUAGGAGUAAAAGGUGCUUGGAGUGUGGACUCGAAUGGUGGUGGCAUAACGUGGAAUGCUUUGAAUCAUCAUGGAUAGUUUCAGUGGUUUUGGGUUCUUUUUUAGGCUUAGGAUGAAAUAUGAGGACGGAGUUUUUGGGAGACACGCAGAGAUUUCAAACAAAACUCUUUAGGAAAUAGGGUGAAUUGUCAGCAAGGAGGACAGGACUUUGUUCUUUAUUUCACAUUUGGCUACCCAUGGAAAUAGAAAAACAGGGCAACGUUCAGGGGGUUGUGGAAAUUCAUUGAAAAGCUGGACUUAGGAUGAUAAUAAAGUCGAAAUAAAAACCCCUUUCCACCAUUUCCAAUGAGUUUUUUAGAAGUUCACAUGUGAACAUUCAGACUGGUCAUUUGAACAAUAUCGUCAGCUCAAAUGAGUUUACAAGAAUUAAAUAGACCUUUGCUAGCUGCGGUGUCUUAGAGCAGAAGAGUUGAGGUUUAUCCCAUCAUCCUCCACUUCAAAUCAAUUAAAAGCAGUGAAAGAUGAGAGUUUGGAUAGGAUGGAUGAAUGGAUUGAUAGGGAGCCUGACACUAUCCUGCUCCCACCAGUUUUAGAAAUCUAUCUUUAGUAUCUUCCUUCACAGCUUACUCUUUAUGUGAGUAGUACUUACUGUCACUGUAAGCCUUUACUGUCUGCUAAUGUUUGUGACACAUUCU
Long non-coding RNA from Gallus gallus (chicken), 1024 nucleotides. NCBI's taxonomy places the organism in Eukaryota, Metazoa, Chordata, Aves, Galliformes, Phasianidae. The record is from Ensembl.